UAGGGAAUAUUGGACAAUGGGGGCAACCCUGAUCCAGCCAUGCCGCGUGAGUGAAGAAGGCCCUCGGGUUGUAAAGCUCUUUUGUCCGGAAAGAAAAGCAUUCGGUGAAUACCCGGAUGUUCUGACGGUACCGGAAGAAUAAGCACCGGCUAACUUCGUGCCAGCAGCCGCGGUAAUACGAAGGGUGCAAGCGUUACUCGGAAUUACUGGGCGUAAAGCGUGCGUAGGUGGUUGUUUAAGUCUGAUGUGAAAGCCCUGGGCUCAACCUGGGAAUGGCAUUGGAAACUGGGCAGCUAGAGUGCGGUAGAGGGUAGUGGAAUUCCCGGUGUAGCAGUGAAAUGCGUAGAGAUCGGGAGGAAUAUCUGUGGCGAAGGCGACUGCCUGGACCAGCACUGACACUGAGGCACGAAAGCGUGGGGAGCAAACA
This 427-nucleotide ribosomal RNA is filed under the name uncultured bacterium. RNAcentral describes it as "bacterial SSU rRNA". It matches the Rfam family "Bacterial small subunit ribosomal RNA", at positions 355 to 774 of the family's 1533-position model. The record is from RNAcentral.